UACGUAGGGGGCAAGCGUUGUCCGGAAUCAUUGGGCGUAAAGAGCGUGUAGGCGGUUCGGUAAGUCGGUUGUGAAAGUCCAGGGCUCAACCCUGGGAUGCCGGUCGAUACUGCCGGACUAGAGUUCGGAAGAGGCGAGUGGAAUUCCCGGUGUAGCGGUGAAAUGCGCAGAUAUCGGGAGGAACACCUAUGGCGAAGGCAGCUCGCUGGGACGUUACUGACGCUGAGACGCGAAAGCGUGGGGAGCAAACAGG
Molecule: ribosomal RNA, 253 nt
Filed under: uncultured bacterium
Lineage: Bacteria
Description: partial 16S ribosomal RNA
Rfam family: Bacterial small subunit ribosomal RNA
Source: RNAcentral